AGUGAACGCUGGCGGUAGGCCUAACACAUGCAAGUCGAACGGCAGCACAGUAAGAGCUUGCUCUUACGGGUGGCGAGUGGCGGACGGGUGAGGAAUACAUCGGAAUCUACUUUUUCGUGGGGGAUAACGUAGGGAAACUUACGCUAAUACCGCAUACGACCUACGGGUGAAAGCAGGGGAUCUUCGGACCUUGCGCGAUUGAAUGAGCCGAUGUCGGAUUAGCUAGUUGGCGGGGUAAAGGCCCACCAAGGCGACGAUCCGUAGCUGGUCUGAGAGGAUGAUCAGCCACACUGGAACUGAGACACGGGCCAGACUCCUACGGGAGGCAGCAGUGGGGAAUAUUGGACAAUGGGCGCAAGCCUGAUCCAGCCAUACCGCGUGGGUGAAGAAGGCCUUCGGGUUGUAAAGCCCUUUUUGUUGGGAAAGAAAAGCAGCAGGUUAAUACCCCGCUGUUCUGACGGUACCCAAAGAAUAAGCACCGGCUAACUUCGUG
This 493-nucleotide ribosomal RNA is filed under the name uncultured bacterium. Its description in RNAcentral is "partial 16S ribosomal RNA". It matches the Rfam family "Bacterial small subunit ribosomal RNA", at positions 29 to 507 of the family's 1533-position model. The record is from RNAcentral.